UCUUAGGUAGCUUAUACAUUAUCAAAGCGUUGAAAUUUUAAUUCAGAAAAGAUUAGAGUCCCUAAGUA
This 68-nucleotide transfer RNA is filed under the name Hoplopleura edentula. Its description in RNAcentral is "tRNA-Lys". Lineage: Eukaryota; Metazoa; Arthropoda; Insecta; Psocodea; Hoplopleuridae. The record is from RNAcentral.